Molecule: long non-coding RNA, 338 nt
Filed under: Olea europaea (common olive)
Lineage: Eukaryota; Viridiplantae; Streptophyta; Magnoliopsida; Lamiales; Oleaceae
Description: long non-coding RNA (OEUR_LNC015360)
Source: RNAcentral
CACAGCGAAAAUUAAACAAAAAAAAAAUCAAUUCCCACAGAAAUAUUCUUUAUGUUUAGAUAGGAAUUGUGAUAAAAGUUAUACAUUUUUAUAGAUCUACAAACUCCUUUGCUUUUCCUCUGUUCCAGCAUCCUUAUUUUGUCACUCAUAGUUGUCCAAUUGUCCAGCCUUCAAUGAAAUUUCACACAGAGAACAGAUUGUAGUUACCAGUGUUUUCUCCUCUUGUACUAGCAAAAAUAAUGAGAAUAUCUACAAAUUGAAAACACUAGUCACAUAUUUAUAUAAGCCCAAACGGGCUCGACCUGACUCGAUCCAAUAUUUAGUUAACCCAUUUAAUU